RNAcentral lists this ribosomal RNA (263 nucleotides) under uncultured bacterium. RNAcentral's name for it is "partial 16S ribosomal RNA". It matches the Rfam family "Bacterial small subunit ribosomal RNA", at positions 91 to 354 of the family's 1533-position model. The record is from RNAcentral.
UUUAGUGGCGGACGGGUGAGUAACACGUGAGCAACCUACCUUCGAGAGGGGAAUAACGGCUGGAAACGGUCGCUAAUACCGCAUAACAUACUGGAGGGACAUCCCUUUGGUAUCAAAGAUUUAUCGCUCGGAGAUGGGCUCGCGUCCGAUUAGGUAGUUGGUGAGGUAACGGCUCACCAAGCCGACGAUCGGUAGCCGGACUGAGAGGUCGAACGGCCACAUUGGGACUGAGACACGGCCCAGACUCCUACGGGAGGCAGCAG